UCCUGCCCCACCGGCAAGCCGGGCACCGCCAUGCCCGCCCUUCCUUUUGACCGAUCUCCUCCUUCCUCCCCAUCGAUGCCGUGGGAGCACCCAUCCGGCCGCCCAGACCCCAGCCGGUGAUGCCGCCACCGCCAUGUAGCCGCAGCCACACCCCUGACGACGGUGCCGCCGUAGCCACACCCCCGCCGAUGAAGCCACCGCAGCCCCGAGCCCAACCGAUGACGCGCCACACCACCUGCCGGAACACCUCGGCGUCACUGGAUCCGGCGAGGAUCUUCACCACCCUCCACUCUUUGGCGACCACCAGCCCGCGUGCGGAUGGGGUGCUAUCCUGCAGAUCGAGGAGGCGUCAAACUUCAGAUGGAGGAGGCCACAACCUGCAGCUGGCCACGCGCUAUGGUCGCGCGUCGCCGGCAUCCUCCGUCAUGCUCGGCACCUGCUGAGCAUUGGAGUGAAGCGCCCCAGAGUAAGCAGCCCUGAGCCAUUCAAGUAUGCAGCCCUGGGCCGUUCAACGAUGGAGCUGCCGACCGUUCGUGAAGACAACAUCCCGGAUCCUGCUGCCCACCAUCAAGUUCAACUUCUGUUGAACCAUGUAAAGGGAGACUUAUUGUGUUGAUCCCGGUGCUUGUCGCCAUUCACGAGGAAAGAUAGUCGGUCUUUGAACGGGUGAGUGAUCUUGCUGUUGCUGGGAUGCUAUUCAACAUCGGGAUUUGAUCUCCCUUGAGGUGUAGUGU
Long non-coding RNA from Triticum dicoccoides, 734 nucleotides. RefSeq lists it as uncharacterized. The transcript is spliced from 3 exons. NCBI's taxonomy places the organism in Eukaryota, Viridiplantae, Streptophyta, Magnoliopsida, Poales, Poaceae. The record is from RefSeq and is a predicted model, not a curated record.